CAGCCGCCGCGGUAAUACGUAGGGUGCAAGCGUUAAUCGGAAUUACUGGGCGUAAAGCGUGCGCAGGCGGUUUGUUAAGACAGAUGUGAAAUCCCCGGGCUUAACCUGGGAACUGCAUUUGUGACUGGCAAGCUAGAGUAUGGCAGAGGGGGGUGGAAUUCCGCGUGUAGCAGUGAGAUGCGUAGAUAUACGGAGGAACACCGAUGGCGAAGGCAGCCCCCUGGGCCAAUACUGACGCCCAUGCACGAAAGCGUGGGGAGCAAACAGGAUUAGAUACCCGCGUAGUCCCUGUCUCUUAUAC
This 301-nucleotide ribosomal RNA is filed under the name uncultured bacterium. RNAcentral's name for it is "partial 16S ribosomal RNA". It matches the Rfam family "Bacterial small subunit ribosomal RNA", at positions 509 to 807 of the family's 1533-position model. The record is from RNAcentral.